UACGUAGGGUGCAAGCGUUGUCCGGAAUUAUUGGCGUAAAGAGCUCGUAGGCGGUCUGUCGCGUCUGCUGUGAAAACUCAGGGCUUAACCCUGAGCUUGCAGUGGGUACGGGCAGACUAGAGUGCGGUAGGGGAGACUGGAAUUCCGUGGUGAUAGCGGUGAAAUGCGCAGAUAUCAGGAGGAACACCGGUGGCGAAGGCGGGUCUCUGGGCCGUAACUGACGCUGGAGGAGCGAAAGCGUGGGGAGCGAACAGGAUUAGACUACCCU
Molecule: ribosomal RNA, 268 nt
Filed under: uncultured bacterium
Lineage: Bacteria
Description: partial 16S ribosomal RNA
Rfam family: Bacterial small subunit ribosomal RNA
Source: RNAcentral